RNAcentral lists this ribosomal RNA (4086 nucleotides) under Fasciola gigantica. RNAcentral's name for it is "28S ribosomal RNA". The stretch from base 778 to 4086 matches the Rfam family "Eukaryotic large subunit ribosomal RNA". Lineage: Eukaryota; Metazoa; Platyhelminthes; Trematoda; Plagiorchiida; Fasciolidae. The record is from RNAcentral.
UGCCGAAGACAUGGACAACGGAGUCUGUAACACUGGUUAUGGAAGUUCUUAGAUUGAAACACCUUAUGUAACUGAUCCAGUUUCCUUGGAGAAACUUUAAAAUUUUAGUCACAAUGAGAGCACUUGAGGGAGAAAGUAUUGUAAAGCCACGACAUGAGAGGUUGCAGACUUGGCAUUCACGCUCUGCUCAUAUAAAUGGUGGUAUCUGAGUGUUGCGGGAGUUCUGUUAUAGCGGCUAACGUGUCAUCCGCUUCGAGAGGUGCGGAGAGCGUCGAAAUCUAGUAUAACAUCCAGAGUUGUUGUGCCCGGGAUGAACGGACCUGCUUGCCAGUGCCACUUCUCCUCGAGAGAUUUCAUCACAUAUCACGAGCCCUGUGACGUCAGCUGUCUGGCUGAUUUGUUGGGACUGGUUAAACCGGUCAUUGGUAGGGUCCUUUGGGUGUCUUGCUAGGUCAGGGAGGCAGGUAGCCGUUGUGCGAUUUAUCGUGCUUCUAGGGUGUAAUAAGAAAGAACUUGCUUACGGUUUCAGUCGCGUCAGCAGUUAGUCGGAGCGGAGCGUUGUCAUGUGCGUUGCGGGCGUUCGUGAUUCGAGCGACCGGGCGGCUCCUCGGAGUACUGGAGUUUGCCUUAGAUAUGCUAUGGUGAACAUACAAUGGAGGAUCUCCCUAGUAUAUCGGCUCGCGUGUACGUUCGGAGUAAUCGGUUAGGCGGUUUGCGCUUUGUUUGCACUUCUGUAAGGGACAGCAAACACGCUACUGUGGUGUACGUGGUAGAACGCUACCACAACACUACCCAGUCUAUGACAUAAACACAAGGACCAAAGAGAGCAGUAAACAUAGUGCGCGAGUGCAUUGGGAAGUCUUACGUAAAACGCAGAGGCAGACAGUGAAGGAAGGCUCGGAUAUGUCUGUGGCUGAAGGUGAAGAAUCCUGUCGUUCUCUCAUGCGGCGAGGGUUAAUCUCACCACUUCGCAGAGAGAGCGAGGCGCAUUCAGCACCCACCGGCCCGUCCAUGGCUUAGAGUGCAGCUCCGCGGAUGCUUGACUCAAUUACAUCGGGGCGCGAGCUAUCGAAGACAUGAUUGAGACCCGAAAGAUAUUGGAUUGAACCUAUGCUUGCCGCAGGUUGAAGCCAGAGGAAACUCUGGUGGAGGACGCAAGCGAUUUCUGACGUGCAAAAUCGAUCGUCAAACGUGCAGUAUAGGGGCGAAAGACUCAUCCGAACACACAUCAUAUGUCAGCUGGGUCAAUCUGCGAAGUUUCCUCAGCGACUAGCUGGCAUUCUAAGUCGAUAUAAUAAGCAGUCUCUUAUCCGGAUAACAGCGAAGUGAUUAAGAGGAUUUGGGGCGCGAGAACAGUCCUCUCAACCCUAGUUCUCAUAUCUUUAAGCUGGGUGAGAAGCCCUAACUUCGCGUCAAUACGGAGUGCGGACCUCUGAAUGUGAGUGUCAAUGGGCCAUUUUCUCUCGGUAAGGCAGAACUGGCGCUGUGGGAAGGAACAACGGUUCGGUUAAGGUGCCUAAACGCGACGCCAUGAGAUACACAAAGGUGUUGGUUGGUCCCAGACAGCAGACGGGGCCCAUGGGAAGUUGGAAUCCGCUUAAGCAGAGUGUGUAACAACUCAUCGCCUGCCGAAUCAGCCCCAGCCUGAAAAUGGAUGGGCGCUGGAGCGUCGGACCUAUAGCGGCGGAGGUGUGGGCUGAGUCCGGUAAUGUGUGGUGUGAGGGCAAGGCCACAUGACUCAGGCGCGGAAUGUUGUGACGAGUAGGGAGGGCUUCGCCGUGGUGACGCGGGAAGCUCGGGCGUGAGCCUGAGUGAGCCCGUCACGCGGUGCGAAUCUUGGUUGGUAGUAGCAAAUAUUCAAGUGAGAACCUUGAAGCCGAAGGUGGAAGAAGGGUUCCAUGGGAACAGCAGUUGGCCAUGGGUCAGGCGGUCCUAAGUGAUCUCGGUAAAUCGGUGCAGAGCGGGGUGCUGACUUGUCAGGAUUGCUGUCCAUUGUUACUGUUGCACGUAGCCCCUGUAGCGAAAGGGAAUCGGGUUAAUAUUCCGACCUGCCACAGCGCGGAGAAUUGGUGUAUUACUGGCUACGGUCAGUUUGCACUACGUGGCGAGGUAACAGCAAUGACUCGGAGACGUCGUGGCGAGAGUUUCUGGGUACACGAGUUCUCUUUUCUUUGAUUAGCGUGCACCAUCCCUGGAAACGGGUUGUGCCGCGGGAGAUAGGGGACUAGCUCCGUAAAGACCACCCUUCCUUGUGGUGUCCGGAACACUCUUGUCGGCCUUGAAAAUCCGAGCGACGGCUAUACUAAUUUUCGUGGCAGGCGCGUACCCCACAAUUCCGCAUCAGGCAAUAGUAUGGUAGAAACAGCUCGUGCAACACUCUGGCACUUUGACACAAUGUAGUAAGGGAAGUCGGCAAAUUGAUCCGUAACUUCGGGAAAAGGAUUGGUCUGAGGGCCGAGUCGAACGGGCUGAAGUAAGAUACGUGUCGGUCAAAGUUGGAGGCUGAGUUCUUUCUGUUGCUUGUCCUGCUUCGGUGGGUACGGGUUGACGGAGUACUGGACUCCCUGCCCGGAUCGGUCGUGGCGACUUCAGCUAACAGGUUGCUUGCAACGGUGUGCAUCGGGUAACUGUGUGCGCAAUGCGGGAUCUUGCUCUCUUCGUCUGGCGUUCACGUUCUACCUCAGAACUGGCACCGGACCGAGAGGAAUCCGACUGUCUAAUUAAAACAAGAGCAUUGCGAUGUCCACUGAUCGGUUUUUGACGCAACUGUGAUUUCUGCCAGUGCUCUGCAAUGUCAAAGUGAAGAAAUUCAAUCAAGCGCGGGUAACGGCCGGGAGUAAUAUGACAUCUCUCUAAAGGUAGAUCCAAAUGCGCUCGUCACUACUAAUUAGUGACGCGCAUCGAAUGCGCAUUAACGAGAUUCCCUACUGUCCUAUCUCUUCUAGGAAACCAACCAGCCAAGGCGAACGGGCCUGGCAGAUUAGCGGGGAAAUGAAGAACCCUGUUGAGCUGACUCUAGUCCGACUUUGUGAGGAAGACAUGACGGGUGUAGAAAAGUGGGAGAACCGGUCCUUCGGGGCUUGUCGACAGUGAAAUCCACCACCGUUCAUUGUUUCUUUGCUUAUCUCAAUGUAAAACGGGAAUUGAUUUUGGCUUUAAAGCACAUCUGGCAGUUCGUGCGUAUGCUGGCGGGGUCUGUAUCUCAUGGUCAGUCAGAAGUCAGUCGUGGUCUCGGCCGCGGCGUUGAGUCUGAUUGUGAUGUGCGAAGACCGCGUUCUGAAGACAAUGUCAGGCGGGGAGUUUGAACUGGGGGGUACUCUGUCAAAUGGUAAGCAGGGUGUCCAAGGUUGAGCUCAAGCCAGGACGGAAACCUGGCGUGGAGUAAAAGGGGCAAAAGACUUACUUGAUUUUGAUUUUCAGUACGAAAAUACAGACCGGUGGAAAGCGUUUUGGCCUAUCGAUCCUUUUUGAAAUCCGAUAUUAGAGUUUGAAGCAAGAGGUGUCAAGAAAAGUUACCACAGGGAUAAACUGGCUUUGGCGGCAAGCGUUCAUAGCGACGUCGCUUUCUUGAUCCUUCGAUGUCGGCUCUCCCUAGCGUUGUGAGGCCAGAAUCUCACCACGCGUUGGAUUGUUCACGGCCUAUAGGGAACGUGGAGCUGGGUUUAGAAGCGUCGUGAGACAGGGUUAGUUUUUACCCUACUACUGAGUACACUUUGAUAAACUCAAAGGUAGACACGUAGACAAAUCUGUGAAGUCAGAUGCUUCUGAUGAGAAUUAAAAUGUAUCGAGACCUAUUUGUAUUAUCGCUCUCAUGCGAGAACCGCAGGUUCAGUCCUUUUCACAUGUUGUAUAAUUGUGCAAGUCGGGAUCGAAAGGCCAAUGGUCGCGAUAGCUUACAUCUGACGGGAUUAAAGAGACUACGAACCUGCUAAUAUAGUUCUGAAAUCUCGCGUCCGAGAUUUUAGUAUUCUGUGUGCUCACUUAUACAGAACUGCUCUUGCACAGUGGCUAGGCAGCUCAUCGUAUUCCUGCCGGUGCUUUGGUUCAGGCUAAUGUGCCCUGGCUAGGUCCGGUGGGUCUGGUUGU